Long non-coding RNA from Melanotaenia boesemani (Boeseman's rainbowfish), 100 nucleotides. RefSeq lists it as uncharacterized. The record is from RefSeq and is a predicted model, not a curated record. The transcript has 3 exons. Lineage: Eukaryota; Metazoa; Chordata; Actinopteri; Atheriniformes; Melanotaeniidae.
UUUUUAAAAAGUGAUUCAAUUGCCUUUAAGGUUGUCGUACUUUUUAUUAAUGCAGUAUUCAAUGUGAGAAAAAAUCAUGCUGUGCAGAAAUAUUUUAGCU